ACGUGCAAGUCGAAACGCGAAAGGGGACUUCGGUCCUGAGUAAAGUGGCGCACGGGUGAGUAACGCGUAGAUAACCUGUCUUCAUGUCUGGAAUAAUACGCCGAAAGGGGUACUAAUACCGGAUAUUCUUGCUUUUCAUAAGUUAUGCAAGCAAAGGUGGCCUCUGCAUAUGCUACUGCAUGAAGAGGGGUCUGCGUACCAUUAGCUAGUAGGUGGGGUAAUGGCCUACCUAGGCGACGAUGGUUAGCGGGUCUGAGAGGAUGAUCCGCCACACUGGCACUGGAACACGGGCCAGACUCCUACGGGAGGCAGCAGUGAGGAAUAUUGCGCAAUGGGGGAAACCCUGACGCAGCGACGCCGCGUGAGUGAAGGAAGGCCUUCGGGUCGUAAAGCUCUGUCAAGAGGAAAGAAGUGUACAAUGGCUAAUACCUGUUGUAUUUGACGGUACCUCUAAAGGAAGCACCGGCUAACUCCGUGCCAGCAGCCGC
This 488-nucleotide ribosomal RNA is filed under the name uncultured bacterium. RNAcentral describes it as "bacterial SSU rRNA". It matches the Rfam family "Bacterial small subunit ribosomal RNA", at positions 53 to 518 of the family's 1533-position model. The record is from RNAcentral.